RNAcentral lists this long non-coding RNA (1098 nucleotides) under Homo sapiens (human). Its description in RNAcentral is "novel transcript". The record is from RNAcentral. Lineage: Eukaryota; Metazoa; Chordata; Mammalia; Primates; Hominidae.
CUAUUGCCCAGUCUGGUCUCAAACCCUAGGCUCAAGCGAUCCUCCUGCCUCAGCCUCCCAAAGUGCUGGGAUUAUAGGUGUGAGUCAUUGUGCCUGGCCAAGAUGAUUAAUUUGAAUGUCAUAUUUAAUUAAUUUGCUUAAUUGUAGUAAUCUUUUUUUACCUGAACCCAUAGAAUUUUGCAGGCACCAUCUGGCCAAGUUUCAGGAGUCAAUAAUACCUUGGAAAAAUUUAAAAGUUCAUUAUAUGGUUUACUUUUGUUAUCAAAUAACUACAUUUUUUGUAAAAUUUAUUAGACAAUCCAAUAAUUUUUCUUCCAGAUUUAAUACUACUCUAGUGUUCUCUGUUUUCUCCUCCAGAUCCAUUAUUUAUUCUUCUCCAUCUUGUUCUGUGUUCCUGGAAGCCAACCUUUAUAAGCUGCAGGAAAUGGAUUUCCUACUCUCCACCUUCUGAUUGGGCUUGACCAACGGGGAGCACUGGCAGAAGACAAGCAUGGGAGGAAAAAGAGAUCAGGGCUGGAGUGCAGUGGCGUGAUCUCGGCUAGCUACAACCUCCACCUCCCAGCCGCCUGCCUUGGCCUCCCAAAGUGCCGAGAUUGCAGCCUCUGCCUGGCCGCCACCCCGUCUGGGAAGUGAGGAGCGCCUCUGCCCGGCCGUGACCCCGUCUGGGAACUGAGGAGUGUCUCUGCCCGACCGCCACCCCAUCUGGGAGGCCCAGCAUCCAAUUCAGUCGCCUUCAAGGAGUCUCUUCAGUCUAAUUUAUUCUAGAACAAUUCUUCAGGCUUCCCUUCUCUGGCCAAGAUUUUUGAAAAAUACAGGUCAAUGACUUUGUAGGUUGUCUUCAGUUUGGAUUUGUCUGCUGUGUCCUCAUGAUUUAUGCAUCUCUGGCAGGAAUACCACAGAAACGAUGCGACAUUCUUCUCAGUGUACCAUAUUAGGAGUCACACAAUGUCAACUUGUCCCAUUACUGCUGAUGUUAAUGUUUACCACUUGGCUAAGAUGAUGUCUGCCAGGUUUCUCCACUGGAAAGUUAACAGUAUUUAGUACGUGUUAAGUGAUGAGUAAUGAAUAAAUAUUUCAUAGGGAGAUGUUCUGAGAGUA